UGCUCAGCACUCUCACUGUUUUUAAAAGAAGGACAGAGAGUGAUAGAGGAAAGGAGUGAGACCCCUGCAAAACUUAAACAACUACUUCCAGUAGAUGGGCCUGCCUGGCUGCCCCACCUUCACUGAUGUGCGGACCUCCAUCGCCAGCCACGCCAAGUUUACACAUUCUAGCGAAGACCGCCUAAAAAUCUCCAAAUUCAUGUGCCAUGACAUCAGGACGGCAGACAAGUUUUAUGUUACAAACCCGUCUGCCCAGCAGGCCAUGGAACACUGCAAGCUCUUUGAGUCUGCCUUGGAGGAGUCCACCAAGGCAGCCAACACCUCAAAAGUGGAAGCGGCCUGCUGAGAAGUCCCAGCCAUCCAAAAAAGCGGCCACCAAAGUCCCCUGAGCUGACAUCAGGCAGCACCACUCUAAGAGGAGACGGAGGUCCAUUAUCAAGAGUCUGGGAUGUCCAGUCCUCAGUCCAUUGAGCAUGAAGCAGAGAACCCAGGGGAGACUGGCCAAGGCGAGGUGGAAGGAGAAGUGGAAGGAGGGGCGGAAGGAGGUGCAGAAAAAGGAGCAGGAGAUGGAGCCCAAUUCACCUGAGACCGAGUUAUCAACCCCACGCAAAACGUACCCGACCAGAAGGGGAAAGGUAAAGGUGGUGCUGACACCAGUGAAGUCUGCACUAGAGACCAAUAUGACCCACCAAAAUAUCUCCCUUCUGAAGGUGAAGGACGGCAAUUUUUCAACAAGCUCAACCACUUUAAUGGGGAUGUGCCAUCAAAAAAAGGCCAAAUAUUAUAGACCUACACAAGGCUAGAAUGGGCUACAAGACCAUCAUGCAGCUUGGUGAGAAGGUGACAACCAGGGUGUGAACUACGGGGGGGCGGGGUCUCAAAAAAUAUUGACUGUGUUAUUUUGCAAUUUCAGUUUUUUGUAAUGUGAUCAUUGUGGAUUAUUAUGUGAAAAAAUGGAAAAAUAUAAUUCAUGCAUGAUGGAGAUUUAAACCUAACUCACUUCAAUAAAGAUGACUAUACAUGCUAUCUUGUCAUGAGCAUCAA
Molecule: long non-coding RNA, 1044 nt
Organism: Onychostoma macrolepis
Lineage: Eukaryota; Metazoa; Chordata; Actinopteri; Cypriniformes; Cyprinidae
Exons: 3
Source: RefSeq, a predicted model, not a curated record